This is a transfer RNA of Malassezia globosa CBS 7966, 99 nucleotides long. It matches the Rfam family "tRNA". From Rfam's summary of the family: Transfer RNA (tRNA) molecules are approximately 80 nucleotides in length. Their secondary structure includes four short double-helical elements and three loops (D, anti-codon, and T loops). The record is from Rfam. Lineage: Eukaryota; Fungi; Basidiomycota; Malasseziomycetes; Malasseziales; Malasseziaceae.
GUGGCCAUAGUAUAGUGGUCAGUACGUAUCGUUGUGGAGUGAUCUCUCGAUCAUCACAACAAGUCCGAUGAGACGCCGGUUCGAUUCCGGCUGGCCACA